This 1063-nucleotide long non-coding RNA is filed under the name Equus asinus (donkey). Its description in RNAcentral is "lncRNA (ENSEASG00005023771.1)". Lineage: Eukaryota; Metazoa; Chordata; Mammalia; Perissodactyla; Equidae. The record is from RNAcentral.
CUUGGAGACUGAGGCAAGAUUAGGGGAUAUUAGGGAAUGUGUCCAGGGGCAUGACCUCUAUCUCCCAGAGAAGUUUGAUCAGAAGUAGAGGAUCUUCCUGGACCUCCAGGAUGUUCAAUAGUUCUGGCUCAGUGCUCUGCUCUCAUUCCAUGGAUUCGAAGUACAAAUAGUUUCCCCCUUGAUGAACCUUUCAGAUCCUUUCUAACCCUAGCAGCAGUUUACUCUUUUUUUUUGAGGAAGAUUAACCCUGAGCUAACUACUGCCAAUCCUCCUCUUUUUGCUGAGGAAGACUGGCCCUGAGCUAACAUCCAUGCCCAUCUUCCUCUGCUUUAUACGUGGGACGCCUACCACAGAAUGGCUUUUGCCAAGCGGUGCCAUGUCCACACCCGGGAUCCGAACCAGCAAACGCCGGGCCGCUGAGAAGCGGAACGUGCAAACUUAACUGCUGCGCCGCCGGGCCAGCCCCAGCAGUUUACCUUUAAUGUCGUUUUUCCACGGGGGACCAGCAACUACCCAGAAUUCCUGGAGAGGAUGGAGAUUAGCCCUGAGCUAACAUCUGCUCCCAAUCCUCCUCUUUUUGCUGAGGAAGCCUGGCCCUGAGCUAACAUCCGUGCCCAUCUUCCUCUAUUUUAUAUGUGGGACGCCUACCACAGCAUGGCUUGAUGAGCGGUGCCAUGUCCACAUCCGGGAUCUGAACCGGCGAACCCCGGGCCGCCGAAGCCGAACGUGCGCACUUUAACUGCUGCACCACCAGGCCGGCCCCAAGACGAUGAUUUUUUUCUGAUAGAAUGAGGGAAGGAUAUAAGAUGGACUACUCCAAGGCUUCAAGCUUAAGUAACAGGUAGAAGGCUAGUGCUUUUAACAGAAAUAGGAAAACCAGGAACUAGAACUAAUACUAUUUUAAUAUUCUGAUGAUGAAUUUUAUUUUAGAUACGGGUUUGAAAUGAUGGCUAAACAUACUAGAGGAAAUGCUAGCAGGCAGUUAAUUGUAAAGGCAGGAUUGGAGUUCGUGAGAAAAGUCAGCACUGAAGAUAGAUUUGAGUAUCAUCUGCUUUAAUGUGAC